RNA transcript from Vigna unguiculata (cowpea), 1853 nucleotides. RefSeq lists it as uncharacterized. Lineage: Eukaryota; Viridiplantae; Streptophyta; Magnoliopsida; Fabales; Fabaceae. The record is from RefSeq and is a predicted model, not a curated record.
UUAUCGAAAAACCAAAACCCCAAAAAUUUGAAUAACCCUCUCUGCCUUCUCCUUCUUCUUCCUCUCCCCCACUACACAACUCCACCCUCACCCUCUUACGCGCGCAAGAUCUCAACUGCCGAACAUUCUAGAACCCUUUCAGAUCGAACACCAUCUUCCAUCUUCCAUCUUCAUUCUCUUCUGUUGUUCUUCUGGCGACUGAUUCGAACGAAGCGCUGAGAGUGAUGGGGGAUGAGAAAGCUGAGAAGAAAGAAAGUGGUGCGGUGAAGGAGAAUAUCGAGAACAAUGGAGAGAAGACGAAGGAAGAGAAGAAGAAGAAGAAGGGGUUUAUUUCGAGAAUUUGGCACGCGAUGUUCAGGUCCAACAACGACGAUUUCGAGAAGAGGCUUCAGUAUAUCACCAAAGAAGAAAACGCUGUCGUUGUGAGAAUGAGCAACAGAUCUCGCUCUUGGAGGCGAACCUCUCGCCAGCUUAUUUUAUUUUCAAUUCUGUUUGAGGUCAUUGCUGUAGGUUAUGCUAUUAUGACUACAAGAUCAAUGGAUAUGAAUUGGAAAAUGCGGGCAAUUCGAGUGUUGCCAAUGUUUCUUUUGCCUGCCUUGUCAACUGCUACAUAUUCAACAUUUGUCAGCUUCACAAGGAUGUGUGAUCGCAAGGACCAGAAAAUUCUUGAAAGGCUUAGAGCUGAAAGGAAAGCGAAAAUUGAUGAGCUCAAAGAGAAGACAAAUUAUUACAUUACUCAACAACUCAUUCAGAGAUAUGACACGGAUCCAGCAGCAAAAGCAGCCGCUGCAACUGUUUUAGCAUCUAAGUUGGGUUCAGAUUCUGGUUUGAACGUGUAUGUGGAGGAUGAAUCUUCUGCUGCUCCAACUGGGAAGACCAAGGAUGUUGAAGUUGUGCAGUCAAGUGGUCUUCGAAAUCGCAAGCAAGUGAACUCUAGAUCCACUAGUCCAGGGACAAAGCCAACAAAUUAUUCUGAUGAACAAUUAGUUGGUUCUGGGAAAAUUAAUCAAACUCAAACUCCUGAGCAAAAUGAGCUUGUAGUUGUUGAACAUCAUCCUCAAAGUUCAGCAAUGAAUGAUGGAGGAUGGAUUGCUCGAAUUGCAGCAUUGCUUGUUGGUGAAGAUCCAACGCAAUCUUAUGCACUCAUAUGUGGUAAUUGCCAUAUGCAUAAUGGUCUUUCUCGGAAGGAGGAUUUCCCAUUCAUUACCUAUUACUGCCCACACUGUCACGCCUUGAACAAACCAAAGCAUUCGGAAGAACAUACAUCUAUCCCAAAUACUGGUUCUCCAAAAGCAGAUGAUGGCGAAGAAGUCCAAAAAGCUGGUGCUUCUGACAGCUCAAUCUCAAGCGAUAAUCCUGUAAAAGCGACCCCUGAGAUUGAGGAAGUAGCUGCCCGGGCUAUUUCAGGUGAAGAAAGCUAGUUAAAUGAGAAGCCUCUUUUGGUGAUGGACUAUUUGAAUGACAUGUCUUGCCCUUUGUUUCAUGUCAAGGUCCAACUGUUAAGGAUACUCAAUUUUAAAAUCGGACUGUAUACCCAAGAGACUUGAAAACAACUUCGCAGUUGGUUUCCUUACUGUUGUUGUAACGAGAAGAGUUUUAAUAUAUUGCUUUGAAACUUGUGGUUUACAAAUUAUAGUUCACAGAUUACAUCUCUUGCUUUUGAGUUGAGGCAAUUUUUUGAUUUCCAUAUAUUUUCCCUCUUUCUUGGAAUAGUUUAAUAGAUCAAAACAAGAAACAAUAAGAAAAUUUCAUAAAUUGGGUAAGUGUGGAUGAUUUUGGUGUGAGAUUUAUUUCAUAAACAUUGUAACUUUGUAAUAGCUAUGUUAUGACUAAUGAAAAAAUAGUUCUCAUUU